AAUCAACGCUGGCGGCGUGCCUCAGACAUGCAAGUCGAACGCGAAAGUUCCCUUCGGGAGCAAGUAGAGUGGCGCACGGGUGAGUAACACGUAGGUAAUUUGCCUUCGGGUGGGGAAUAACAGUCGGAAACGACUGCUAAUACCGCAUAAUGCAGCGGCUCGACAUCGAGACAGUUGUUAAAGCGGGGGAUCCUUCGGGACCUCGCGCCUGAAGAGAAGCCUGCGGCAGAUUAGCUAGUUGGUGAGGUAAUGGCCCACCAAGGCUACGAUCUGUAACCGGCCUGAGAGGGCGGUCGGUCACACUGACACUGAACA
Molecule: ribosomal RNA, 315 nt
Filed under: uncultured bacterium
Lineage: Bacteria
Description: bacterial SSU rRNA
Rfam family: Bacterial small subunit ribosomal RNA
Source: RNAcentral